Mesocricetus auratus (golden hamster) is the source of this 104-nucleotide small nuclear RNA. The record is from Ensembl. NCBI's taxonomy places the organism in Eukaryota, Metazoa, Chordata, Mammalia, Rodentia, Cricetidae.
GUGCUUGCUUUGGCAGCACAUAUACUAAAAUUGGAACAACACAGAGAUUAGUAUGGUCCCUGCGCAAGGAUGACACAGAAAUUCGUGAAGCUUUAAAAAAAAGA